This 4304-nucleotide long non-coding RNA is filed under the name Nicotiana tabacum (common tobacco). RNAcentral's name for it is "long non-coding RNA (NTAB_LNC011552)". Lineage: Eukaryota; Viridiplantae; Streptophyta; Magnoliopsida; Solanales; Solanaceae. The record is from RNAcentral.
GUGCUCACAUACUCAAAUCAGGUAAUGUGUUCAAACACCAAAUCCUUUUGGGCGUUAAAUGUCGUUAGCAAGUGUGAUUAUUUCAUUAUAUUCACCUCUAAUUUCUUUAACCCAUUUGAAAUCUUCAGGAGUAGAAAGUAAUUUUUCCAACAAUAUCAUCGUGUAAAGUCCUCGGUGUUGACGGUCUCUUCCCUGGGUAAGUUAUUUUUUUGAAAUUCUUAAUUUUUUGGUGAUUGUAUGUUUGGUAUUCCUCUCAAAAUGCUGAAAUGAGAUGUUGUGUGGUAUGGGUCUGUUAUUUUUCCUGAUAUUUUUCGACAAAAUUCCAAAAAGCAGUUUUCAACUGAUUCUUUUGUUUUUUACGCGAUUCUUUGUUUUUACGCGAUUUUGUGUUUUUCCUUUUUGUUUAUUAGGUUGGUUUAUUUAUUUUCCUCGUGCUUUUUUACUGUACUUGUUAAGGUUGUAGCUUUCGAUUUUCUUUUAGGUUUAUGCUUAGAUUAUCGAGAUAAUUGGGUUACUAGCAAAACCCUAAUUUUGAUUUUGAUUUUUAAGUAUGAUUAAUUUGAUUUUGAUUUGAUUUUUGAUCCACAAUUGAAUCUCCAAAUGCAAAAACUGCUUUUACAUCUACGUUUUUAGGUACAUGCAGUUAGCGAGAAUAGUUUUUUCUUCUAUUUCACUUUUAAUUUCUCUGACCCAUUUGAAAAUAUACAGGAAUCAGAAGUAAUUUUUCUUGAAUAGCUAUCUCCUAAAGCCCGUUCUCAGUGUCGACUGCUCUUUCACUGGGUAGGUUGAAAACUUCUUUAGUUUCUCAUUUUAAACAAUAGUUUGUUUCUUUCAUAAACCAAUGCAUUAACUGAUAUUCUCUGCGUUGACAAAAACAAAGUUAAUUGUGUGAGCUCUGAAGCCUUGGUUAUUGCCUUAUGCUUCUAAGUGCUUUACCUAAAUUCACUUUAUUUGGAGUACAUUAGCAAUUAACCACACCUCCAGAAGCCUGCAAAAGCUCUUAGGCUCAUGUAGAUGGUCAGAGCAACCCAAAUUCAGACGAAUUUAUAAAUUGAUGAAAGAAUGAACAAGCAUACAAUGUUGAAUAAAGCCAUUGUAACCUGAACAUAUAUAGCAUUCGCUUUUAUAAAUAUUUACUAAUUAAUAAAAAAGGAAAAUAUAUAUACUGACAUUGUCUUCAGAUUAUAAUCAAGGAAGAUAUAUAUGGUCAUAAGGAUGUUUUUCCACUUAAAUUAGGAUUUUGGAGGUCUUGAGGGAAGGGAGAGGGUUGAUUUUUGGCAGUUGAUAGAUUUUCAAAGACUAUAAACUUUAGAUAAAGCGAUCGAAACUUAAGUCUCAAGUCUCAUGCAUGAUAGAGGUUUUAAGUUUUUUGUUUCCCUUUUUUGCCAGUUUCAAAUACUUAUGAGAUGAAUCAGCUAUGAUAAAGUUGUCAUGAAUCUGGAAUGGAGAGAGUUUAAUAUUUUGAUUCUUGUUAUAGUCUUGGAAUUGACAUAUAAAAUACUACUCAUGAGUAGUGACACCAAGAACUGAAUCAUGCCAAGGCAUAUUUUCUUGCUUAUGAGGAAUAAAUAAACCUUCAAAACAUUUAGGUCAUAUUAGUCCCAUAAACAUGCCAUGCCACUUCAUAUGCCUCUUUCCAUGAAACUUGGUGCUACUUAACUUCAAUGUGGUUCAAUUUCAUUGAUUUGUUCACACUCUUUAUGAAUCUAAGAGCUAAAUUGUCUUGUCUCAUAUAUUCACUUACUGACCGAUAUAGACUCUAUUUUCCUCUUUUUUUCACUUCAUACCUCAUUAAAUAUUUCAAAAGAUCCAAUCACUGGUCCUUUAAAUUGUUAUUUUUAACAUGAAAUGGUUUAACAUGGGAAUGUCUUCUCUGCUUGCAGUAUUUGUGACUGAACAGAUACUCUUAAGAUAAUGGCAAGCUACAAAAUCCUUUUCUCAAAUUGUUUUUACCUGUGGAAUGCUUUAUUUUUGUAUUUAUAUUUAUGUUGCUUGAUAAGUGGAUUUCAGAGAUUAAUCAUCUAAUAUUUGAUGUCUUAAUGGCUUCACUAUAUCAUCUUGGCUGAAUAUUUCAAAUCUAAUUGAGAUAUUUUAUGAAAAAUAACUACGUUGGACAGUAAACAUUUCCCUCUUUGACUAGUAUAGUAUUAUUGUAUUUUCGUUUGAUGCACUGUUUGUAUUGUGAUCCUUCUCUUAAUAGGAAAAAGUUGUUGAUACAAGUAUAAAUACUCAUUGUGCCUUGAACACUAAUGAGCCAUUUGUGUUGGCAUCUCAGUCUGAACAAGUCUUCUACUUAGAAGACAUGGUUGAUAAAGAUUGGCUUGUUGUUGUAAAGAAAAAUCCUCGCGACCUUUUCAAUAUGCCUUAAGUUGAUGAUAAUUCUGUAGCAGUUGAAGAUGAAGCAUUACUGAAUGAAGAAGCUUAUCAACAAGAGGAAGUUGAAUUGAAUAUUUUGCAAAACAAUGACCAGGAAAAUGAUAUUGAUGUGGCUUUACAUAUGGACGAUGUUGAACCACAAAGUAUUGAUGCAAGUAUACAAGCUUAGACAAGUAUGCAUGAAAAAGAAUGUGGAAGUAGACAAACGGAUCAGCAUAGAAAUAGCCAAGAGGAUUCAAGAACAACUGGCUGCUAUCAUGUCUGGAAUGCAACAGGUGAUCUACUCUUAAUGUUUUUGUACUCUUCCUUCCUUCUUGACUAUUCUUCUUCUUCUUUUUUUCUUGAAUUUUGGUUCCUUCUUGGAAAUUCUUCUCUUCUUAUCUUUUGUGAGGCAAAUAGUGUGUUUGAUAAAAUACCUUCUUUUAUGAGGGACAUUAUUGCAAUAGAGUUUGGAUACUUGUUGAUCAACCAAGUGGUAAUGGUCAGGUUGAAAAUAUUCCUACAAUUGGAUAGUUGUAGAUUAAGAUUUAGAGACAGUGUUUUAUAAGCCCUUUUAGAUAUGAACAUAGUGACCUUUUUGGAUAAGUAAAAGAUAAAUUGACUUUUCUUAUAGUUGGAUAGUUUGGUGUAGAAAGUAAUACUAUCGCCUACAACAUUUGGACUACAGAGAGUUGUAGGCGAUGUUAUUUCACUUAAGACAAUUGUUAGAAGUACUGAUGCAAACAAGAUGUCAAAUACUUAAAUCUUGGAAUUGUAGUUGUUAAGUCUGAAUCAUACAUGUUAAGUAUAAGGUCAACAUUAGCGUCCAACAUACUACUGAAGGAAAGUCACAAUAGAUAAAUGUACAUGAGUUAAAAGUUAUUUUAUUCACGCAGUAAGGUAGUGUUGAAAGAUCCCAUAUGUCCCUUACAAUUGAGUUGGCUCAGAUAUGCCAAUCAAUACUUGCAAGCUUAUAUUUUAGCCAAAUGUUUUAGAAAAAACAGUUCCAAUUGAAGAGAACAAAUGCAACAUUGUACAAAACAAGUUCUAGUAAGACGAUUACCCAUUAAUACCUUCAACGGUUAAAUCACCCAUCUAACAGUUCUAGCCUUAAAAAAUCUUGGUGAACAUACACAAUUAAGGGAAGUUAUUUUGGUUUUUCUAUUACUCAUAAAAAGAUUAGCUUGGCUUUGGAAUUAUCAAAAGCUUAACUGCACCGCACACACUCAAACAAAGUACAUGUAUAAACAUUGUCCCUCUUUCAUAUGCUAAUCUGUUUGAGUCUUUGUGAUCGAACACCACAAGCAUUACAUGUGAACAUCACUAAUAGACUUCUUCUUGGUAGUUUCAAGUUAAUAGUUGCUUCCUGCAGAAAAAAAUGACAUUUAAGUGGACAAAGAGCAAGUAGUAAUUCUUUUAAUUGCAAAUUAGAAGAUCUAGUUAUUCUUCGCCAAAUAGGGGGUCUAAAUGUCUCAUCUUCCAAUUGAAGCUUAAGUCGCUUCUUCGGCCUAAUGUUCUUAUCUGUAUCUUUUUUCACUUUGAUGUUAUCUUCAUGCUCUAACAAUGUGAUACUGUAUUUUUUUAUUUAAUAAUAGGGACAAUGUUAUAACACAAUGGUGACAAUGAAGGAGAAGAUUGAAGCUAAGGCACUCAAUGUUUUACUUUUUGGUUAUAUGUAAAUACGUACAAUGACAAUGAAGUAUUACGUAGUAUAUAUGCGGAGGAACUUGAAGCUAAGGCACUCAAUAUUUUACUUUUUGGUUAUAUGUAUAUGCGUACAAUGAUAAUGAAGUAUUACGUAGUGUAUAUGCGGAGAAGCUUGAAGCUAAGGCACUCAAUAUUUUACUUUUUGGUUAUAUGUAUAUGCGUACAAUGACAAUGAAGUAUUGCAUAGUAUAUAUGUAACUCAACUUUUAGUAAUGGAAGUAUUUAGUAUUUGGUUUAGGAAA